GACGAACGCUGGCGGCGUGCUUAACACAUGCAAGUCGAACGGAAAGGCCCUGCUUUUGUGGGGUGCUCGAGUGGCGAACGGGUGAGUAACACGUGAGUAACCUGCCCUUGACUUUGGGAUAACUUCAGGAAACUGGGGCUAAUACCGGAUAGGAGCUCCUGCUGCAUGGUGGGGGUUGGAAAGUUUCGGCGGUUGGGGAUGGACUCGCGGCUUAUCAGCUUGUUGGUGGGGUAGUGGCUUACCAAGGCUUUGACGGGUAGCCGGCCUGAGAGGGUGACCGGCCACAUUGGGACUGAGAUACGGCCCAGACUCCUACGGGAGGCAACAGUGGGGAAUAUGGCACAAUGGGCGGAAGCCGGAUGCAGCAACGCCGCGUGCGGGAUGACGGCCUUCGGGUUGUAAACCGCUUUCGCCUGUGACGAAGCGUGAGUGACGGUAAUGGGUAAAGAAGCACCGGCUAACUACGU
RNAcentral lists this ribosomal RNA (467 nucleotides) under uncultured bacterium. Its description in RNAcentral is "partial 16S ribosomal RNA". It matches the Rfam family "Bacterial small subunit ribosomal RNA", at positions 28 to 506 of the family's 1533-position model. The record is from RNAcentral.